AACGCACGAGACCUGCGGACCUGCGGAAGGAUCAUUAACGAUUUCGGUGUAAAAAACCGUUUUCUACCUAUGUCUACGCGUACCACUUGUUUCCUCGGGGGGCUUGCCCCCCGCUAGGACCCUUUAUCAAACCUUUUUGUAAUAGCAGUCAGCGUCUGAUACUACGUUAAUUAUUAAAACUUUUAACAACGGAUCUCU
RNAcentral lists this unclassified non-coding RNA (198 nucleotides) under soil metagenome. RNAcentral describes it as "partial contains 5.8S ribosomal RNA, internal transcribed spacer 2, and large subunit ribosomal RNA". The record is from RNAcentral.